This 51-nucleotide transfer RNA is filed under the name Neostromboceros nipponicus. RNAcentral's name for it is "tRNA-Gln". Lineage: Eukaryota; Metazoa; Arthropoda; Insecta; Hymenoptera; Tenthredinidae. The record is from RNAcentral.
UAAGUAUUAGUGUAAGAAGCAUAAAGAACUUUGAAUUCUAAGGAAAUAGUU